UACGAAGGGGGCUAGCGUUGUUCGGAAUUACUGGGCGUAAAGCGCACGUAGGCGGAUAGUUAAGUCGGGGGUGAAAUCCCGGGGCUCAACCCCGGAACUGCCUUCGAUACUGGCUGUCUGGAGGUCGAGAGAGGUGAGUGGAAUUCCGAGUGUAGAGGUGAAAUUCGUAGAUAUUCGGAGGAACACCAGUGGCGAAGGCGGCUCACUGGCUCGAUACUGACGCUGAGGUGCGAAAGCGUGGGGAGCAAACAGG
Molecule: ribosomal RNA, 253 nt
Filed under: uncultured bacterium
Lineage: Bacteria
Description: partial 16S ribosomal RNA
Rfam family: Bacterial small subunit ribosomal RNA
Source: RNAcentral